UAUCAGUCAUGCAUAGCAUAUCAAUAAGCGGAGGAAAAGAAACUAACAAGGAUUCCCUUAGUAACGGCGAGUGAAGCGGGAAGAGCUCAAAUUUGAAAUCUUCAAGGUUUUACCUUGACGAAUUGUAGUUUAAAGAAGUGUUUUCUGUUGAAGUUUUGGUAAAAGUUCUUUGGAAUAGGACAUCAUAGAGGGUGAGAAUCCCGUAUUUGACCAUUACUUUCAGCUUUGUGAUACACUUUCAAAGAGUCGGAUUGUUUGGGAAUGCAGUCCAAAAUGGGUGGUAAAUUUCAUCUAAAGCUAAAUAUUGGCGAGAGACCGAUAGCGAACAAGUACCGUGAGGGAAAGAUGAAAAGAACUUUGAAAAGAGAGUUAAACAGUACGUGAAAUUGUCAAAAGGGAAGCGUUUGACACCAGUGUUGUUUUCUCGAAAAUCAAUUAAAAAGAGUUGGAUUUUGUGUUGUAUUGACUUUAUCGGCUUUCUUCACUCUUUUCCAGCUUUUUUUAAUGCACUUUUCGUUUAACAAGUCAACAUCAGUUUCUUUUGUUGUAAAAAGGUCAUUGGAAGGUGGCUUUCUCUUCGGAGAAAGUGUUUAUAGCCUUUGACUCAUGCAAUCGGAGAGACUGAGGUCUGCAGCGUAGAUCCUUCGGGGUUAGAUACAUUUGUGCUAAGUUAUAGCUUUUCAUAGACAACUUGUUGACUAUGUUUAGUCUUGUAGCUUACUCGCUUAUGCUAUUUUACCUACGCUUAGGAUGUUGAACUCUAUCACACACAG
RNAcentral lists this ribosomal RNA (773 nucleotides) under uncultured Neocallimastigales. Its description in RNAcentral is "partial large subunit ribosomal RNA". It matches the Rfam family "Eukaryotic large subunit ribosomal RNA", at positions 22 to 621 of the family's 3401-position model. The record is from RNAcentral. Lineage: Eukaryota; Fungi; Neocallimastigomycota; Neocallimastigomycetes; Neocallimastigales.